Molecule: ribosomal RNA, 452 nt
Filed under: Bacillus sp. (in: firmicutes)
Lineage: Bacteria; Bacillati; Bacillota; Bacilli; Caryophanales; Bacillaceae
Description: bacterial SSU rRNA
Rfam family: Bacterial small subunit ribosomal RNA
Source: RNAcentral
GGCUCAGGACGAACGCUGGCGGCGUGCCUAAUACAUGCAAGUCGAGCGGACAGAUGGGAGCUUGCUCCCUGAUGUUAGCGGCGGACGGGUGAGUAACACGUGGGUAACCUGCCUGUAAGACUGGGAUAACUCCGGGAAACCGGGGCUAAUACCGGAUGGUUGUUUGAACCGCAUGGUUCAAACAUAAAAGGUGGCUUCGGCUACCACUUACAGAUGGACCCGCGGCGCAUUAGCUAGUUGGUGAGGUAACGGCUCACCAAGGCGACGAUGCGUAGCCGACCUGAGAGGGUGAUCGGCCACACUGGGACUGAGACACGGCCCAGACUCCUACGGGAGGCAGCAGUAGGGAAUCUUCCGCAAUGGACGAAAGUCUGACGGAGCAACGCCGCGUGAGUGAUGAAGGUUUUCGGAUCGUAAAGCUCUGUUGUUAGGGAAGAACAAGUACCGUUCGA